This 801-nucleotide ribosomal RNA is filed under the name uncultured Rubrobacter sp. Its description in RNAcentral is "bacterial SSU rRNA". It matches the Rfam family "Bacterial small subunit ribosomal RNA", at positions 8 to 796 of the family's 1533-position model. The record is from RNAcentral. Lineage: Bacteria; Bacillati; Actinomycetota; Rubrobacteria; Rubrobacterales; Rubrobacteraceae.
AGAGUUUGAUCAUGGCUCAGGACGGACGCUGACGGUGUGCUUUAGGCAUGCAAGUCGAACGAGAAAGCCCUUCGGGGUGAGUAAAGUGGCGAACGGGUGAGUAACACGUGGGCAACCUGCCCCUCGCAGGGGGACAACCGGAGGAAACUCCGGCUAAUACCCCGUAAGCUCUACACGCCGCAUGACGAGUAGAGGAAAGGUAGCUUCGGCCAUCCGGCGAGGGAUGGGCCCGCGGUGCAUUAGCUAGUUGGUGGGGUAACGGCCCACCAAGGCGACGAUGCGUAGCUGGUCUGAGAGGAUGAUCAGCCACACUGGGACUGAGACACGGCCCAGACUCCUACGGGAGGCAGCAGCCAGGAAUCUUGGGCAAUGGGCGAAAGCCUGACCCAGCAACACCGUGUGGGUGAUGAAGGCCUUCGGGUCGUAAAGCCCUGUUGAUAGGGACGAAGGGCGAAGGGUUAAUAGCCCGGAGCUUGACGGUACCUUUCGAGGAAGCCCCGGCUAACUACGUGCCAGCAGCCGCGGUAAUACGUAGGGGGCGAGCGUUGUCCGGAAUUAUUGGGCGUAAAGAGCGUGUAGGCGGUUCGGUAAGUCUGUCGUGAAAUCCUGGGGCUCAACCCUGGGCGUGCGAUGGAUACUGCCGGGCUAGAGGGUGGUAGAGGCGAGUGGAAUUCCCGGUGUAGCGGUGAAAUGCGCAGAUAUCGGGAGGAACACCAGUAGCGAAGGCGGCUCGCUGGGCCACACCUGACGCUGAGACGCGAAAGCUAGGGGAGCGAACAGGAUUAGAUACCCCCGUAGUCC